This 445-nucleotide ribosomal RNA is filed under the name uncultured bacterium. RNAcentral describes it as "bacterial SSU rRNA". It matches the Rfam family "Bacterial small subunit ribosomal RNA", at positions 338 to 795 of the family's 1533-position model. The record is from RNAcentral.
CCUACGGGGCGCACCAGUGGGGAAUAUUGCACAAUGGGCGGAAGCCUGAUGCAGCGACGCCGCGUGCGGGAUGACGGCCUUCGGGUUGUAAACCGCUUUCAGCUCUGACGAAGCUUUUGUGACGGUAGGAGCAGAAGAAGCACCGGCUAACUACGUGCCAGCAGCCGCGGUAAUACGUAGGGUGCGAGCGUUGUCCGGAAUUAUUGGGCGUAAAGAGCUUGUAGGCGGCUUGUCGCGUCUGCUGUGAAAGCCCGGGGCUUAACCCCGGGUCUGCAGUGGGUACGGGCAGGCUAGAGUGUGGUAGGGGAGACUGGAAUUCCUGGUGUAGCGGUGGAAUGCGCAGAUAUCAGGAGGAACACCGAUGGCGAAGGCAGGUCUCUGGGCCAUUACUGACGCUGAGAAGCGAAAGCGUGGGGAGCGAACAGGAUUAGAUACCCGUGUAGUC